Molecule: transfer RNA, 77 nt
Filed under: Mesorhizobium amorphae
Lineage: Bacteria; Pseudomonadati; Pseudomonadota; Alphaproteobacteria; Hyphomicrobiales; Phyllobacteriaceae
Description: tRNA-His
Rfam family: tRNA
About the family: Transfer RNA (tRNA) molecules are approximately 80 nucleotides in length. Their secondary structure includes four short double-helical elements and three loops (D, anti-codon, and T loops). Further hydrogen bonds mediate the characteristic L-shaped molecular structure. tRNAs have two regions of fundamental functional importance: the anti-codon, which is responsible for specific mRNA codon recognition, and the 3' end, to which the tRNAs corresponding amino acid is attached (by aminoacyl-tRNA synthetases). tRNAs cope with the degeneracy of the genetic code in two manners: having more than one tRNA (with a specific anti-codon) for a particular amino acid; and 'wobble' base-pairing, i.e. permitting non-standard base-pairing at the 3rd anti-codon position.
Source: RNAcentral
GCCGUCUUAGCUCAGAAGGUGAGAGCGCCUGAUUGUGGAUCAGGAGGUCGCAGGUUCGAUCCCUGCAGACGGUGCCA